GGGGAAUAUUGGACAAUGGGCGGAAGCCUGAUCCAGCAACGCCGCGUGAGGGAUGACGGCCUUCGGGUUGUAAACCUCUUUCAGUACCGACGAAGCGCCGAUGAUGGUGGUGACGGUAGGUACAGAAGAAGCACCGGCCAACUACGUGCCAGCAGCCGCGGUAAUACGUAGGGUGCGAGCGUUGUCCGGAAUUAUUGGGCGUAAAGGGCUCGUAGGCGGUUUGUCGCGUCGGGAGUGAAAACACUGGGCUUAACUCAGUGCUUGCUUCCGAUACGGGCAGACUAGAGGCAUGCAGGGGAGAACGGAAUUCCUGGUGUAGCGGUGAAAUGCGCAGAUAUCAGGAGGAACACCGGUGGCGAAGGCGGUUCUCUGGGCAUGUCCUGACGCUGAGGAGCGAAAGUGUGGGGAGCGAAC
RNAcentral lists this ribosomal RNA (414 nucleotides) under uncultured bacterium. RNAcentral's name for it is "bacterial SSU rRNA". It matches the Rfam family "Bacterial small subunit ribosomal RNA", at positions 356 to 773 of the family's 1533-position model. The record is from RNAcentral.